Molecule: long non-coding RNA, 484 nt
Organism: Cervus elaphus (red deer)
Lineage: Eukaryota; Metazoa; Chordata; Mammalia; Artiodactyla; Cervidae
Exons: 3
Source: RefSeq, a predicted model, not a curated record
AAUGAAAGUGCUGCAGGCAAUCUGGAGAAGGGACAGGCGCUUGGCUGCUCAGACCAAGCAGAGUCGUGUCCCCGCACCCCUCCCGUGCUCGUGUAGGAAGACGGGAUGGAAGGGGUGGCCUGCGUCCAUCUCCCUGCGCUCAUCCCUGGAUGAUGGGGAGUCAACAAACUCACCCAUGAAGAUGGGACUCCACUCCACGCCCAUUUGUAUGAAUCACAACAUAAGCAGAAGGCCUUUUGCUGUUUCUGAACUGACUGCUUGUGACACUGAUGGUCCCGCAGCCCCAAACUCUCCCUUGUCGCCAGCAGAGAGCAAACCUUGGGUCAAGACAGCAUGGUUUCCUACUAUUGCCUCAACUCUUGAGCAAAUCGCUCAACUUGGGGGCCCAGAGAUUUCCCUCCUGGGACUGUCAACCAGGAGGCAAUGAAUUUUGUGAUAGGGAAAUUUUCCCAUUUGUAACUGGGCUGAAAUUCCCAAUGAUUUC